CAAGGUUUGUAUAGCCAGCUGAGGUCGUUAAAAACUCUCUUUCUUUUGUUGUUGCAGAUAGAUCUUGACCUGAUAAACAAUUUUACCACAUGUCAGAUUUGCUCUAAAUGCUUUGGUUUUUGAGUGAUAAGCCAAAAACCGCAUUUUACCCCUAUGUUCUAUUUUUAGCCAUGGCGGCCAUCUUGGUUGGUUGGCCGGGUCACCGGACACAAUUUUUAAACAAGAUACCCCAAUGAUGAUUGUGGCCAAGUUUGGUUUAAUUUGGUCCAGUAGUUUCAGAGGAGAAGAUUUUUGUAAAAGAUAACUAAGAUUUACGAAAAAUGGUUAAAAAUUGACUAUAAAGGGCAAUAACUCCUAAAGGGGUCAACAGACCAUUUUGGUCAUGUUGACUUAUUUGUAGAUCUUACUU
Molecule: long non-coding RNA, 409 nt
Filed under: Mytilus galloprovincialis (Mediterranean mussel)
Lineage: Eukaryota; Metazoa; Mollusca; Bivalvia; Mytilida; Mytilidae
Source: RNAcentral